ACUGGAUAACCUACCUAUAAGACUGGGAUAACUUCGGGAAACCGGAGCUAAUACCGGAUAAUAUAUUGAACCGCAUGGUUCAAUAGUGAAAGACGGUUUUGCUGUCACUUAUAGAUGGAUCCGCGCCGCAUUAGCUAGUUGGUAAGGUAACGGCUUACCAAGGCAACGAUGCGUAGCCGACCUGAGAGGGUGAUCGGCCACACUGGAACUGAGACACGGUCCAG
Molecule: ribosomal RNA, 224 nt
Filed under: uncultured Staphylococcus sp.
Lineage: Bacteria; Bacillati; Bacillota; Bacilli; Caryophanales; Staphylococcaceae
Description: partial 16S ribosomal RNA
Rfam family: Bacterial small subunit ribosomal RNA
Source: RNAcentral